GGAUAAUGGGAAUUGGAGUCCAGGAGACAAGGGAUCUGUGACAAUGUGGAUCAUGGGGGAGAGUUCAGGAUAACAGCAGGACUACACAAAUAUUCCCAUCGGCUCACUCUGGAUCUGAACACAGUGAAUAAGUGCCUCUGUCUGUCUGAGAGCAACACAGUGAUUACUAACACUUACCCACCAC
This is a long non-coding RNA of Megalobrama amblycephala (Wuchang bream), 184 nucleotides long. RefSeq lists it as uncharacterized. NCBI's taxonomy places the organism in Eukaryota, Metazoa, Chordata, Actinopteri, Cypriniformes, Xenocyprididae. The record is from RefSeq and is a predicted model, not a curated record. The transcript is spliced from 3 exons.